CAAAACCUGAAGAAAAAUGUUGUCUGUAACAGAAGACUCUGUUAGGGACAACAUGCAGGAAGAAUGUAAAACGUGACAGACUUCAUUAUUUGACGUUUAAUGUAGCCUGUUUGCACAAAAAUAUAAUAGGUGUUUUGUGCAUAAGCAGGAUAGUAUUAUUUUAAUCCUGUGUUUUCACGGAUACGUGGAUGGUGAGAGGGGAGUGGCGCACACCGGAAAUUAGCCAACUAUUGCUCCUCCGGCUGCUUAUAGUUAGUCAUAGCCAUGGCGCCGGAUGAAAAAAUUGUAGAGUGGCAAACAAACGAGAUAAUUGAAUCGCUGUUUAACGACGAAAACAGUGCGAGGCCCCGUAUGAUAGAUGGUGAUUUGGAGACUGACAGUUCAGACGAUUUUGACCCGGUUAUAAUCGCUGAUAAACUGAGAGCUGUCGCCGAUACCCUGAAUAAGGACCCCAAUUUUAAAAAAGCAUUAGAUGAGCUGAAGAAAACCGCAGCAACAGAGGCUACAGAGGCUGCAUUUGAACGUGGCGUGGAGCUCCUAUGUAAGAGUCAUGUCGCUCAGAAAGCUGACAUUGCUCCAGAGAUGCAGCUGAUCCGGGCCUCAGCAGCUAUUGGACUUUAUCUGAAAAACUCAUACCCAGAGAUGAAAGAGAAUGUCAAGACAGCCUUGGCUUCAUUCCUCAACAGGCGGGUGGGCAAAUGGAUCACUGAGAAAGGUGGAUGGGUAAGUAAACUUUUAAGAUUCAGAUCACUUCAGAUUUAAGUCUAAAUAUGACAGUAAACCUCAACCAAAAAAGGUUGACUGGGGUAUUGAUGACAAGCUGCCGGAUGGACUGUGUCGAAACCUUUUCUUCUUCUUUUUUUGUUAAUGCAAUGACUCAAGAAUCUUGGGAUUUCCAAAUAUAUUUUUCUGUGUAUUAGAUGUUAAUCAUAAUAAGGUUGGAGGUCAGACACUGAAAAAAAUGACAGCUGAAGUAGCCUUUCAAUUGUCCCACUGCAAAUAUUGGUUAAACAAUAUGUUUAUGUAAAUACACUUGUAAUGAGUAAGAAUACCAUGGUAAUUUGGGGCUUUUAUUGAUUUCUUUGAACUGCUCUUUUUCCAGGGUGGAAUCACAGUAAGGCAUACAUCUCAUACAUUUUCUCCAAUCCACACAAGCUCAUAUAUAUAUAUAUAUAGGGCUGCUCGAUUAUGGCAAAAAUGAUAAUCACGAUUAUUUUCACUGAAAUUGAGAUCUCGAUUAUUUGACGAUAUUUAUUUAACAGUAACAAUGUAUUGAAUAAUGACUUUAAAGAUUGUCAAAAAAUAAUAUAAAAUAGUGUGCAAAUACUGAUAACAGUGCAAAUGUUUGCAAUAUAAAAAAUAAAUGAAAAAUGUAAACAUCUAUGUUUAGUGAACUUUGCGGUGUUGCUCUGUGGUGCAGCUACGACACUGUAGCAAAGUUUACACACUAUGUCUACUUGAUCCACGUCUGACUCGCGAACCCAUAAUGUUUCCACACCACUGAAGUUUUUUUUACCUCUCUUUUCAACCAAUGGCAGUCACUCUCCUCUCCAAAUAACUUCUGCUUAGCUUUCCGAGCUUCCCUCGGGUCCUCUUAAUCAGCGGUCCCCAACCCCCGGGCCUCGGACUGGUCCGGUCCGUGAGUCGUUUGGUACCGAGCCGCGAGAGUUGAGGCUCAGGUGUGAAGUGUAUAGUUUUCAGGGUUUUUAUCGGUUUUCAGCGUUAUUUUGUUAUCGUUUUUAUCGUUUACUCGGUUUUCCUGGGUCUUUUCACGUGCGUUAUGAAUAAAUUUUCUUUUUUUCGGUACCAGUACUAGUUUAAUUUUGUUGUAUUUAUCCGCGACACCUUAAAGGCCGGUCCAUGAAAAUAUUGUCGGGCAUAAACCGGUUCGUGGGGCAAAAAAGGUUGGGGACCGCUGCUCUUAAUUGUUGUGACACGUGGUCAAAAUGCAGAGAGGUGCACUCGAUUUGCCACAUGGAGCAGCGCGAGAGUAAAGCUAAUGGCUAAUAAUCGUCAUUGUGGCCAAAUAGAUCAGUCUUAGUCUCAUCUGAUCAUAAAACAUUUCUCCAAUAAGCAUUUUGCUUGUCCAAGCUUGGUACUCUCAGUUGAUGGUGAUGUAAACUUUCUCUGCUAUGUUGACAGUCAUCCUGUCAGUUUCCUUUCCUGUGAUAGUGAGAGUGUGGGUCUUCAUCCAGACCUUGACAAAGUGGCAACAAACUAAAAAUAACCUGUACUUGCGUACAAGUGUUUGAAUUGAUGGUUUUGGGAUAAGCGGUUGUUUAUGAAUGGCUCAGAGAGACCUUACCUUCCUUGGACUUUCCCAUUUUAUAGGUCAAUCCACUAAGUGCUGACAAACAAAUCAUUUUUAUACUGCCAAAGAGAAACUAUCAGUUUAGUCAUGAUUACAAAAACAAGAAGUUAAUAGGUCUUAAUUUUGUCAAGUGAAACAAAACUGUUGAACCUUUAAAACCUCUUAUUCAAAGAUUUUCAUAAUUUUGACUCUGUAGAUUAGAGAAAAUCCAAAAUGAAAAACAAAUGAAUACAGAUUAAGGAAUAAAUAGAUGUGUAAUGGAUGAUGAGAAUGACCGGUAGUCAGAAAGCAUAAUAAAGAGAUCUGAAAUGAGAGAAAACUGACUGAUGGCAGAUGGCUUCAAACUUGAAGCUUGUUGAUUCUACCUUGCUACAGGGACAUUUAACCAAAUAUUUGUGUGUGUGUGUGUGUGUGUGUGUGUGUGUGUGUGUGUGUGUGUGUGUGUGUGUGUGUGUGUGUGUGUGUGUGUGUGUGUGUGUGUGUGUGUGUGUGUGUGUGUGUGUAUUUAAGCCUGUAUGCACACUUCUGGGCCUAUGUGGAUUAGAGAAAAUCCAAAAUAAAUUUGUGCACCUAAUUCUUGUUUUGUUUUUGGUUUUUUAAGGUAUUUGGGAUGUAUGCAGUACAGAUAUUCCACCCUGGUAAAAUAACAGUUCAAACAAAUAAUUAAAAUGAUAAGUGUAUGUAACCAAAGCUCUACAGAAGAGGAGAAAAGUAAGGGUCAGAGAGUCUUUUUGUAUAAAUGUUUCUAGUGUUUUAUUAAAAGGACACUGCACUUUGUCCUGAUUGAACUUGUUAAACCUGACGCACUUGGCAAAGUUACUGAGGCUAUACUGACUUACUCUACAGGAAAUUGCAGAUGACCUUGUUAUGCAGCAUUUUUACAACAUGAAAUGAACUUUUAUCUUAGAUGAUUUUCGAAUCCGUCGGUCAUUCUUAGUCUGUCUUUGACCUGAACCACAGUCUUAUUUUAGUUAAGUCAUCUUUAAUUUUGGAUUCAGUUGCAGUUCAAAAAAUGAUUAAAAGACCAUUAUUGUUGUAUUAUACACUUUGUGCAAUAUCUGAAAUGUUUCAGUGACAUAUACAAAUUCAUGUCUUUUCAUUGUGCGUGUUUUGUUACUUUUCAGGGCAAAGUUGCACCUGUUUGAGACUAAAUCCAGCCAAACCAACCUCAUAGAGCUCUACAAUCAAACUGGGUAUUAAUUUCUUAAAUGUCUGUUCAGGGUUUUGUUAUCACACAGGCAGACAUGUUAUCACACACUAAGCCUGUUUAUUAUAUGAGAGAGAAGGGGGGGAAAAAAACAGAACACUUUCUCAUUGAAGUUCCUGCUUGGCUGAGCCCAUGUAGUGAUUCUUGGCUUUAUAUGUGGUGGUAAAAUAAUUGUAUUACUUGAAAUGCUCUCCCUGAAUGGGUUAAUAAAUAAAGGGCAAAUAAUAUAAAAAUAUGAUACCAGCGGAUCUUCACUACAUCAUGAUCUUAAGGGAGAGUCUUUUGAGUAAUCAGUGGGGUAGCCUCUAAUCAUGUCUAUUUAUUGUCUUUCUAAGUGCUGUCUUUUGGGAAGCUCUAGCAUUUCUCAGUAAGGUGAAAAUGCUUAGAUUAAUUAACAUUAUUUAGUAAGUUUAGGUGUGUUUUGAAUUCUUAAUGGGGAAAAACCUUAAAAAAGGGAUUUGUCCCUUUUGCAAAACAUGUUAAGAUUUUGACUCCAUAUGUACCUUAAAUCAUACUCAUUACAUUUUGCUAUCUUUGAUCGAGCUCUAAAUUCAUGUGUUUGAAAACAGUUUAGUGAAAUGCAGGUAGUCUGUCAUAUCUUGAGCCAUCAGAUGAUGAAGAACCUGCUGUCAGGUUGUUAUUUUUAUGUCUGCAUUUUAUUUAAUUUUUUUCACGAUGACAUAUUUGCACUGGGAAAAACUGAACAACUUCAAAAGUAGGUACACACGUGUUGCCAUUAGGGAUGUGCCAAUUGCAUUAAAAUAUUAAUUUGUAUGUCAGCUGGUAAAAUAUUUUUUAUUUUCUUAUUUGUUUCUUCUUAAUGACUCUAAACAGUAGUGGUAUAUACUUAAAUGUAAUGGUUAAUCCAACAUUAUGGACAAGGGUUUUAAUUGAAAUUAUAUUUCUAAUGCUAAAGUGUAAUUCAUGUUAUCCGUGAAUUUUCAAAUUUGCUGUUUUACAAAAAUUCAGAAAAAAUAGUAAAGCACUUAAAAGAAAAAGAGACCAACGGAAAGAUUAGUUGUUAGUGCCGGCUCAAAUUAAGGUCAGUGAAUUCAUUAAUUUUAAGUAGGUUUUUGACAGGAUUUCUAAAAUAAUGUUUGUUUUUCUGUUUCGUCAAUGACUGCUUAAUCAAUUUUAAAAGCAUUUGUUAAGCACUGUAUCUUUAAAUUUAGGAAACUAGAUUAUACAGUGAUGGAUAAAAAAAACAGUUAAUGCUAGAUUUGCUGAUGGCAAUCAAUGAAGCAGAUAUUAGGAAAUCAUGGUUAUUGGUGCUGUACGAUGAUGUCAUUAAACCCAGCAACAAAAGCAAAAAGAUGAAGCAAAUAAAAAAUGAAUGUAUAUUUGCACAUUGUUGUCAGUUAAAAGUGCAACUAAGCUUUUUCUUUUUGUAAUUUUUCUAAUGAUUCAAUAAAAAAAGAAUUUGAAAAUC
This is a long non-coding RNA of Astatotilapia calliptera (eastern happy), 4947 nucleotides long. Lineage: Eukaryota; Metazoa; Chordata; Actinopteri; Cichliformes; Cichlidae. The record is from Ensembl.